RNAcentral lists this ribosomal RNA (434 nucleotides) under uncultured bacterium. Its description in RNAcentral is "bacterial SSU rRNA". It matches the Rfam family "Bacterial small subunit ribosomal RNA", at positions 29 to 506 of the family's 1533-position model. The record is from RNAcentral.
AUGAACGCUGGCGGCGUGCCUUAGGCAUGCAAGUCGAAUGAUCCAUCGCAAGAUGGGGAAUGGCAGACGGGUGAGUAAUAGUAAGGAAUCUACCCCAAAGUGGAGGAUAGCUCGUCGAAAGACGGGGUAAUCCUGCAUAUUCCCGCAAGGGCAAAGGGCAUAACUGCCCGCUUUGGGAAGAGCCUUAUUCCUAUCAGCUAGUUGGUGGGGUAACGGCCUACCAAGGCUAUGACGGGUAGUUGGUGUGAGAGCAUGUACAACCACAAUGGCACUGAGAUACGGGCCAUACGCCUACGGGCGGCAGCAACCAGGGAUAGUCGGCAAUGGGCGAAAGCCUGACCGCGCGACGCCGCGUGAGGGAUGAAGCCUUUCGGGGUGUAAACCUCUUUUGACCCGCCAUCGAGGCGGGUAGAAUAAGCGCCUACUAACUACGU